RNAcentral lists this ribosomal RNA (495 nucleotides) under uncultured bacterium. RNAcentral's name for it is "partial 16S ribosomal RNA". It matches the Rfam family "Bacterial small subunit ribosomal RNA", at positions 28 to 507 of the family's 1533-position model. The record is from RNAcentral.
GACGAACGUUGGCGGCGUGCCUAAUACAUGCAAGUAGAACGCUGAAGGUGGAGCUUGCUCUUCUGGAUGAGUUGCGAACGGGUGAGUAACGCGUAGGUAACCUGCCUGGUAGCGGGGGAUAACUAUUGGAAACGUUAGGUAAUACCGCAUAACAGUAGUUGUUGCAUGAUAUUUACUUAAAAGGUGCCAUUGCAACACUACUAGAUGGACAAGCGUUGUAUUAGCUAGUUGGUGGGGUAACGGCUCACCGAGGCGACGAUACCUAGACGACCUGAGAGGGGAAUCGGCCACACUGGGACUGAAACACGACCAAGACUCCUACGAAAGACAGCAGUAGGAAAUCUUCGGCGGUGGACGGAAGUCUGACCGAGCAACGCCGCGUGAGUGAAGGAGGUUUUCAGAUCGUAAAACUCAGUAGUAAGAGAGGGUCGAAUAUGAGAGUGGAAAGUUCACACUGUGACAGUAUCUUACCAGAAAGGGACGGCUAACUACGUG